This 75-nucleotide transfer RNA is filed under the name Methanobacteriota archaeon. Its description in RNAcentral is "tRNA-Ile". It matches the Rfam family "tRNA". From Rfam's summary of the family: Transfer RNA (tRNA) molecules are approximately 80 nucleotides in length. Their secondary structure includes four short double-helical elements and three loops (D, anti-codon, and T loops). The record is from RNAcentral. Lineage: Archaea; Methanobacteriati; Methanobacteriota.
GGGGCCGUAGCUCAGCCUGGUUAGAGCGUCCGCCUGAUAAGCGGGAGGUCGCCGGUUCAAAUCCGGCCGGCCCCA